This 257-nucleotide ribosomal RNA is filed under the name uncultured prokaryote. RNAcentral's name for it is "partial 16S ribosomal RNA". It matches the Rfam family "Bacterial small subunit ribosomal RNA", at positions 524 to 780 of the family's 1533-position model. The record is from RNAcentral.
UACGGAGGAUGCAGGCGUUAUCCGGAUUUAUUGGGUUUAAAGGGUGCGCAGGUUGUUUGAUAAGUCAGUGGUGAAAGUCUGUCGCUUAACGGUAGGAUUGCCAUUGAUACUGUUGGACUUGAAUAUGGAUGAGGUAGGCGGAAUGUGUAGUGUAGCGGUGAAGUGCAUAGAUAUCGGGAGGAACACCAGUGGCGAAGGCGGCUUCCUGGCACAAUACUGACGCUCAUGUGCGAAAGCUAGGGCAGCGAACGGGAUUA